Molecule: long non-coding RNA, 684 nt
Filed under: Nicotiana benthamiana
Lineage: Eukaryota; Viridiplantae; Streptophyta; Magnoliopsida; Solanales; Solanaceae
Description: long non-coding RNA (NBEN_LNC041271)
Source: RNAcentral
AAUUUUCAGCCGCUAGAACCAAAAAUCGACUGCCCAUCUUGCUUCUUUUUCAUGCUUGAACAGAGAUCCAAAAAAAAAAAAGCGGAGUUGUUUCUAAGCUAAACCCAGCUGUAAACUCACUUCAAAACACCUAAACCAUUCAUAAAAAUAGACGCUGACGAGGUCGUUUGCAACAACAUUCCGUUUUCGAUCGAGUCGAGUUCGCCGCCGGUUCCGCUUGUCAUGAGUUCUCGAGCCGAGCUUCUGUUGAUUUCUUGUUUAACUGGAAAGGGAGACAUUAGAGUAUGAGGAAUUGAACUUGGAGUUCUUGUUGCUUUCCCUUAUCUUGCUCCUGUUGAAGAUUGAGGGUAUCAGGUACAUGUUCUUUUGGGUGCUAAUACUUGUGGUUUAGUUUGAAAUUAUGUGUAAUUUCCUGUAUAAGUAAGUACUGAUUUGGAUUUAAUUGUUGCAUAAGGCUUCUGUUUAUAAACUGCAACUUUAUUGAUUUCUUUAGUUGGCUUCAUUCUUAAAUUGUUAAGUUCAAUAGAGACAUAGUAGCCCUUAAUACGUAAGAUCAUUUCAACGUGAAUAGCCUUCUUGAUCGCGUUACUUGUUUCGUUUGGUUAACCUGUAAAUGUAUGUUGAAUGAAAUGGUCUAGUAAAAUAUGUUGAGCAUUAGUAUUAGAUAUUUUUGGAGAAUAUGUC